GUGCUUAACAUGCAAGUCGAACGAUGAUGCCCAGCUUGCUGGGCGGAUUAGUGGCGAACGGGUGAGUAAUACGUGAGUAACCUGCCCUUGACUCUGGGAUAAGCCUGGGAAACUGGGUCUAAUACUGGAUACUACCUCUUACCGCAUGGUGGGUGGUGGAAAGGGUUUUACUGGUUUUGGAUGGGCUCACGGCCUAUCAGCUUGUUGGUGGGGUAAUGGCUCACCAAGGCGACGACGGGUAGCCGGCCUGAGAGGGUGACCGGCCACACUGGGACUGAGACACGGCCCAGACUCCUACGGGAGGCAGCAGUGGGGAAUAUUGCACAAUGGGCGGAAGCCUGAUGCAGCGACGCCGCGUGAGGGAUGACGGCCUUCGGGUUGUAAACCUCUUUCAGUAGGGAAGAAGCGAGAGUGACGGUACCUGCAGAAGAAGCGCCGGCUAACUACGUGCCAGCAGCCGCGGUAAUACGUAGGGCGCAAGCGUUGUCCGGAAUUAUUGGGCGU
Molecule: ribosomal RNA, 504 nt
Filed under: Kocuria sp. FS24(2011)
Lineage: Bacteria; Bacillati; Actinomycetota; Actinomycetes; Micrococcales; Micrococcaceae
Description: bacterial SSU rRNA
Rfam family: Bacterial small subunit ribosomal RNA
Source: RNAcentral